GGAAAGGUGCAGGAGUGGCUGAACUGGCACGCCUGGAAAGCGUGUGUACGUGCAAGCGUACCGUGGGUUCGAAUCCCACCCUUUCCGCCA
Molecule: transfer RNA, 90 nt
Filed under: Chlorobiota bacterium
Lineage: Bacteria; Pseudomonadati; Chlorobiota
Description: tRNA-Ser
Rfam family: tRNA
About the family: Transfer RNA (tRNA) molecules are approximately 80 nucleotides in length.
Source: RNAcentral